CAUCCCUUUGUGGCAAAAUAAAAGAAAUGGACAAAUCGAUUGGAUACAAAGUACUGUGCAAAAGACGUAGGCAGUCAAAGAAAUGAUGUUUAAAUGAUCUUUUUUGGUGACGUAAAAUCAGCAACCAUCCAACACACCCAAGUAUUGUUUGACUCGACCACCCACCCCACUUCGUUUGGCUAAUCAAGUUAUUUAAUUAAUUUGUUUCAUUAAUAAUUGAGCUGGUGGUGAAAUUUACCAAAUGCAUAGGAUGGCCGAGGUUCCCCUGAGGAGAGGUUUGGGAACUGAAAGGGCGGUGAUCCAGUCAUCCAGUAAGACAUUGGCCCUUUCCAUUUCCAUCAAUUAACAGGACACAAGGCUUACAGGUGAAGGUGUCGGUGUCACAGUCAGGGUGAAGCUCCCAUAAGAUUGUACAUCAUCACCGUAAUGUAGGCUCUUUAAAUCUUGGAACUGACAUGAUCGAGACGGUGGAGCGAUGAAAACCAUAACCACAGACCAGGAGCGACGGGGAAGCACAGCGGACAGGAGAACAAGAGCGGACGGACCGGUCGCCCUACGCGGGCGGUCUGGAGGGGCACGAUUACAAACGUUACUGAAAUACAGCCCUGGGGUAAUGUGCAGCGAAAACAUCCAUUUCAAGAUUUCAAAACAGGUGGAAAGCGAAUGAAAGUCUUGGAUGCUGGUUUUGAAUUUAUAAACCUUCUCUCGUUAGCUUAGAUAUUAUAAAUUUAGCCACAAAUCACACCACAUUUGGCAAAAAUGUUUAAUACCUAA
This is a long non-coding RNA of Brienomyrus brachyistius, 774 nucleotides long. RefSeq lists it as uncharacterized. The record is from RefSeq and is a predicted model, not a curated record. Lineage: Eukaryota; Metazoa; Chordata; Actinopteri; Osteoglossiformes; Mormyridae. The transcript has 3 exons.